Molecule: transfer RNA, 69 nt
Filed under: Anabropsis (Apteranabropsis) sp. QS-2017
Lineage: Eukaryota; Metazoa; Arthropoda; Insecta; Orthoptera; Anostostomatidae
Description: Apteranabropsis sp. QS-2017 tRNA-Ser
Source: RNAcentral
AGAAAUAGGUAGAUCAAGUAAAAGCUGCUAACUUUUAACUUUAGCGGUUUAAUUCCGUUUAUAUUUCUA